UGGGGAAUAUUGCACAAUGGGCGAAAGCCUGAUGCAGCGACGCCGCGUGAGGGAUGACGGCCUUCGGGUUGUAAACCUCUUUCAGUAGGGACGAAGCGCAAGUGACGGUACCUGCAGAAGAAGCACCGGCUAACUACGUGCCAGCAGCCGCGGUAAUACGUAGGGUGCGAGCGUUGUCCGGAAUUACUGCGCGUAAAGAGCUCGUAGGCGGUUUGUCACGUCGUCUGUGAAAUCCUAGGGCUUAACCCUGGACGUGCAGGCGAUACGGGCUGACUUGAGUACUACAGGGGAGACUGGAAUUUCUGGUGUAGCGGUGGAAUGCACAGAUAUCAGGAAGAACACCGAUGGCGAAGGCAGGUCUCUGGGUAGUAACUGACGCUGAGGAGCGAAAGCAUGGGUAGCGAACAGG
This 409-nucleotide ribosomal RNA is filed under the name bacterium. RNAcentral describes it as "partial 16S ribosomal RNA". It matches the Rfam family "Bacterial small subunit ribosomal RNA", at positions 355 to 776 of the family's 1533-position model. The record is from RNAcentral.